GCUCGAGAUGUUCCCUCUUUUUCCUUUCCCCCGCCCUUCCCCCUCUCCCUCCCUCGCCCGUUGGAAUCCGUGGUCGGAGAGCCAUUUACGUUCAGUUACUUUAUUCUCGGGAACGAGGGGACCCCCGUUUUGGGGCUAGCUGGAUCACAAAAAGAGAUAAAGAUUAAGUAACUUGCCUAAAAUUACAUGCCCAUUAAGUACAUGAGGCUGGAUUUGAACUUCCUUCUUCCUGAUUCCAGAUCCAGGACUCAAGUGGUACUUUCUGUCAUGAUUUCAUUCAAGAUUUGCCACAAGAAAAGAAUAUUUUUCAGGACAAUGAAUUAGCAUGAAGAAAAAUUCCUCAGAAAAAUUCUUAAAACAAGGCUUGAAGUUGGUUUCAGAAGAAGCAUAAGGAGAUAAUAAGGAAAGAGAAAUGGGACUUAAUGAAAUUUAUCUGCUUAUAUUCCUCCAUGGGAGGAUGAUACUUGUAAUUUAUAAGAACUUUUGCAUUAUUAUGGCCGUUAGAAGGAGUAUAUAUAAACAGAGGAGCCCAGCUGGUACUAGAAAAACACACAAUUGGAAGCGAUGGGAAGUUUUCUUGAAUAAUGGAAAGGACUGAAAAAAAGAGAAUUUAAAAUGCCAAUUUGAGGACUGUCUUCUAUGAGAUUUCAGGUUUGUGAAUUCUUUUGCAUCGGACCUGUGUGACCAGAGGGGAUUUCCCACCCCAAUUCUCAACCACUAUCCUCAUCUUUUACACCUCAUCAAUAGGACUCAUUCCUCUUUGAGAUUGGGUUUCCAGCUAAGGAAGAUUGCAUUUGGCAAAUUAGGAUGAAAGUAAUCAAUAUCAGCUAAGAAACAAAUGACAACACCAGAAAGCUUGAUUAUUCACCAAUUUGGCUAAUCUACUGGGAGAAAUCUUGACUACAUUGGUAGAAGACUAAGUGAAAGCAUCCUAGGUAGAACUAUCCUUGUCACUUGUCAGCACAUUUUAAUGAAAUGCCAGUCUUUUCUACCAAAUCCUGAAGAAAAACCUCUGGGUACCGAUUGAUGAAAUGAUUUUCCUCCCAAAUGGAGCCUAAACUUAAAAUAAAGCACCUCCCAUUUUGCAAAGCACAGCAGUCUGCAAGUUCAAGAGAGGGCAGAAAAGUGAUUCUCAGCCUACUCCACUUUGGAUAUGCUUCUUUGCUUGGUUUCAACUCCACAGAACAAGAUGACUGUGUAUUAAGUAAUCCCUGCUGGCUCCCCAUCCCUGAUUUCCCGCUUCCUUUUUUGGGUUGUCUCCACCCUUAGAGUUGUAAGUCUUUGAGGGCAGGGGUUGUCUUUCUUUUUAUUAAUUGUAUUACCAGCACAUAG
Molecule: long non-coding RNA, 1332 nt
Organism: Sarcophilus harrisii (Tasmanian devil)
Lineage: Eukaryota; Metazoa; Chordata; Mammalia; Dasyuromorphia; Dasyuridae
Exons: 8
Source: RefSeq, a predicted model, not a curated record